UAGGGAAUAUUGCACAAUGGAGGAAACUCUGAUGCAGCGACGCCGCGUGAGUGACGAAGGCCUUCGGGUUGUAAAGCUCUGUUCUCAGGGAAAAAGCAAGUGAUUGUACCUGAGGAGAAAGGACCGGCUAACUUCGUGCCAGCAGCCGCGGUAAGACGAGGGGUCCAAGCGUUGUUCGGAAUCAUUGGGCGUAAAGCGGGUGUAGGUGGAUUUAUAAGUCAGGAGUGAAAGCCCCGAGCUUAACUUGGGAAGUGCUUUUGAUACUGUAAAUCUUGAAUGUGGGAGAGGAUCGUGGAAUUCCAGGUGUAGUGGUGAAAUACGUAGAUAUCUGGAGGAACACCGGUGGCGAAGGCGGCGAUCUGGCCCAACAUUGACACUGAGACCCGAAAGCGUGGGGAUCAAACAGGAUUAGAUACCCUGGUAGUCCACGCCAUAAACGAUGGACACUUGGUGUUGGAGGUAUUGACCCCUUCAGUGCCGAAGCUAACGCGUUAAGUGUCCCGCCUGGGGAGUACGGCCGCAAGGUUA
RNAcentral lists this ribosomal RNA (528 nucleotides) under uncultured prokaryote. RNAcentral's name for it is "bacterial SSU rRNA". It matches the Rfam family "Bacterial small subunit ribosomal RNA", at positions 355 to 896 of the family's 1533-position model. The record is from RNAcentral.